Long non-coding RNA from Alligator mississippiensis (American alligator), 8684 nucleotides. RefSeq lists it as uncharacterized. Lineage: Eukaryota; Metazoa; Chordata; Crocodylia; Alligatoridae. The transcript has 3 exons. The record is from RefSeq and is a predicted model, not a curated record.
CAUCCUGGUGAGCGAAGGGGGAAGCUCUGAUUUUCCAUGAUAAAAAACCCAAAAUCAAAUACCAAAAUGUAUUGGUAUUUAGAAUUUAUUUUAUUAUAGUGAUUGAGGCAUUGGUAGACUUCCAAACUGCUUUAAAAUUGUAAAUGUAUCAAUAAAACAUGUUGAGAUAUAUAUAUAUAUAUAGUGGCAUUUAAUUUUAAUCACAGAUUUUGGGAGGUUUGUCAGAUACUUUGUGAUUUUUAAACAGAGAAAACCAUGAUCCCUGCUGAUUAUGGUGUGUUCAAGGUGUGGGGAGGAAAGAGGAGCUUUACUGAGGAGCUUUGUUGCAGCAUGUUUUCCAGCAAGCUAUUUGUCUCUCCAGCAUAGGUGCCAACUUCUAUUCUUGCUGGAGGGAGCGGCCUAAGAUGACAGAUAUAUGAAAAGUGUUAUACAUUUCAGGUGAUAACCCUUUUCCCGAGUGGGGCCAGGGCCCUUGGGCCCCCAUGUACUCAGCACCUCUCCUCUCUAUGACAUCCAGAAGCUACCUCUGGAUCUUCCUGUCCUUUUCUGUGGUCUUCUAGGUUACAGUGAGUCUCAGCUUGGUCAGCUACCAGUUCAGGUUGAGGCCCCCAUUGAUUUAUCUCCGUGUCUUUCUCUAGCUGGAAACACCCACUCUGUUCCUGAGCAGUGAGGACUCCUCCAAAACUCAAUUUCUGUCAUCUUUCUCUCUUCGCCAUCAGAUUUCCAAGUGUUGGAAGGCUGAUCAAACUCCUUCCCUUUAAGGUCAUACAGGCUCAGGUGCAAGUUCUCUUGCACCAUGGUCCAAAUCCUGUCCAUCCCAGGUAGCACUAACUUUGCCAGAGGUCAAGGCUUUGCCACAGGCUGUCUUUUCAGCCAACAUCAGCUUUUUGCUCUCAUUCUGGCAUCAUUGUGUGUUAUAGGCAUGUCCCCUCUGGGCUAUCACUUUCACAAUUUUUAUUCCAGUAAUUCAUCAUAAGAGCUUCUUGAGCUUCUGCCUCUCCUCAAAGGGUGAGAAAAUCCAGCAACUGAGUGUGGUUCCAAGUGGGUGCAUAUGUCACAGUACAGCAAAUGCUGUAAUGUUAUGGUGUAAGGAUGGUGACUCUUGGAGUAGGCAGGCACAGGUGUCCUGCUGUUGUUUGUAUAUCAGUAUUUUAAUAGGAAAGGCUAGUUACCUACUGCAGAACAGCACAGGUUAUACGGGUAAAUAGAUAGGUCACCUCUGGUGUGCUGUAAAGCAGUAUGGCAUGCCAGCUAUAAGACCCCCAAGCUGGGGUGCAGUAGUGAUGUAUCCCUACACACACUGAUUUGCACUAAUUUAAUAUGUAGUAAUUUAAAAAUAGGAAACAGUACGGAAUGCACAUUAUCAUGCCAAUAAGUAUGGCCUAAGGACUGUAUUAUAUUUCUCCCUUUAUACUCUGUUUUCCCUUUUUUGCCACUUCUUCUUCUCAUGUCCUGUCACCAUGUUUAAAUGUGACUCCAAAAAUGGGCACAUACUAUUGCUCAAUCUGUAGCCUUACUGAGGUCUUGUUGGUGCACGAUUUCCCUAUAAAUGGGAAGAUCAGUAGAUGUUGUAUAGCUUAAAAGUUUCCUCCACAUUCACAAAUAAUGUUUGUAUUGUUAGAUACAAACACCAUAGCUGCACGUUAACUUUAGUAUUACUAACUGUUGUUUGGAGGUAGUUCAAGCUUCCCUAUGUUGGCCAAUCAAGCUCUGCUCCUGCAGGGAGAUAUUCAUUCACCGGUUUUGAUUUUCAUCCUAACUCUCUCCUGAGUCAUUUCUAGUCACAAUUCUAACAUUUGUAUUUGUGUGGCUAUCAGUGUUUCAUCCAAUGACUACAUUGUAGAGAGGAUUUUUUUCUGUGAUCUUAAUGCCACAAUGUAGCCAUGUAGUGGGUACUGCCACUGAAUGCAAUUAAAACAAACAAACAAAAAAUCAAUCCAUAGGAAAAUAGAAAAGGGAAACUUAGUUUAACAUUUCUGCAGGGUGACACCUCUGGCAUUUUGCACAUACACAUAUUUUUACCAGAGAACCACGCUGGCCUGACACAAACAGCCACAGAUGUAUCUUUAGAGGUUUCUAUUAAGAUAUGGAGCAUAAUCAGAAUCAUGCUAUUAAUUUAGAAAUGAAAAACAAAACUAGAGAAUACUAUAAGAAGGAAAUCUUGAAUGGUGUUCAAAAAAAGCAAUGACUUUGCUUCCAAUUAAUAAACACAAUAUUUGAAGACCUAGUAUCAGCUACAUUUUCAUUAAGAAAAUAUGAACUGAAAUAUAAAGUAGGAGGCAGCCCUGUAACCCUUAUUCAGGUGACCUGAUCCACUCACUUAGCAUGUCCACUCUUGUAAGUUAUGGUUGCAAGGACUGGGCCCUCAGCUAGCUCAGAGGAUGAAAGGUAACUGCUGAUUAUUAUAUUUUCUUCCUUUCCAUUUCAGUCCGUGCCCUAUUUCCAAUAUGUUACACUGGUUACUAUAAAAUGCGAGCAUCAUGAAAAACAACAGACCUAUAUUGUUUUGCUGCUCUCCUGUAUCCUUGAACCAUUAAUACUAUCUCACAAUGAAGAGAGACUUUGAAAGGAGCCACAACGUAAAAGCAAAUGUCUCUUUGCUAAACAUUCACACAAACAGCACCCAGAACAAACUGUACGCAGAAUAAUAGGAUGUAAAUGGAAGCAGACAAUGCCAAAACUGUACAAUUAUAUUUUUGUCUGUCCUUGAUUUUGAGAAUUUUAUUAUUCAUCAGAGUCCAGUUCAUAUUUGUUUUGUUUUAAUGUCUGAAAUGCUUUGCAUUUCAUCCUAAUAGUCCUCUCUGUUCUAAAUGUUUAUACAGCAUGAUUUACUACAAUGUGGAUGUGUAAUUAUGGUGAUGAUUAGACAAAACAUUUUUGACAAGAAAGGAAAACAGUAGUUAAUAAUGUUUUCCAUCUGUUUGGUAAAACCCAACUUAAAAGGAAGGAGGCCUAAGCAUGUACCAGAGUCCAAGGCAACACCUAUGUAAGUACAUGACAGAAAUAUAAAUGCCUAAUGAAUUCAUUCUGAUCAUUGCUCACACAUUUUUGAAAGCACUACCAUCUGUUUUAUAGAUAAAUAUUACUGCAAUUAAUGUCAGCACAUGUUUAUAUUAUAUCAUUUCCAGAGUCUUAUUUUAGAGCUAAGACGCCUUUCUUUUCAGAAGGAAUAACGGCAUAUUUUAAGCUAUUGGCAGGAAAUGCAUUGUAAUUAGGAUAAAAUGAGUGAAUUUCAAUAAUGGCUUGCUUCUCUAUUGGAGAAAGUUAGAGCAUUUAAAGCUUCUGUUCUUCAUUAAGGGCCAGAUACUGGGUCACUGCCUGUACUGCUCACUGAAGGCUUAAAAAAAAAGCCUAAAAAUUGCACCUUGGCUGAACAUGGAAAACAGCACAAUAGAUAUAACAUGGAUGAGUCUUCUUCACCCUUGAGAUGUGUAUUUCAUGCCUCUGCUCUGCCCUUAUGUUGGUUGAUUAAGAGUUUAAUCAUGCCAUGAGCAUGGCUCUGAUCUACCCAAGCUCUUAAGCACAUACUAAACUUUUUAGUUUUUUCCAGGGCUGAGACAAAAGCAGGCAAGCUAAAGCUGCUACUUUUCCCCAUGGUGUUUAGCAAGGGCCUGGCUAUGAAUGUAGCAUGUCUUUAUGAUGAAGAUUUAAUCCUUCAGCUCCCACUAUGUUCCAACAAAACAAAAUCCCUUUAUGCAGAUUUAGCUCCUUCCCCAUCAGAGAAUCUAAGAAAUGUGUCCAAAACCAAACAGACCCCAUAAAUUAACUGGAUACUUAUUGACUUAGUACUUCUGUUUAUACGAUGUGCCAGUCAAAAUGCUAUAGAGGCCUGAUUGAAGGGGCACUGAAGUCAGCUGAAAGAUUCCUAUUGUCUUCAGUGGGCUUUGGAUGAGGAUCCAACUACAUUUGUGCAUCCAAAAAUAUGUAUAUCUGCAUCUGGAACAUGCCUGACACUUGAAAGAGAAUUCUUUUAUUGUUGUUCACUACAUCAAUACCUUACUUUCUAUGCCAGUGAAAUUAAGUUGCAGCUGAAUUGUUCUUGUCCUGCUGCCAAAAUUUCAUGCACCUGUAUGAGGACCUGCUAUUUGAAAAUCUGUGCCUGGUGACAGAGAUCGGUGGAAUUUUGUUUAGAAUAAAGUAACACAUUUUGUUCCUUCAAUAGAGUUUGAACUGCCAGUUCCACUGUCAGACCCAGAGCAUUGCUGUUUCAGCAUAAGGCAGGGCAGGGUGGCAUUUUUUAUUAGUAUCUCAGUUUUUCUUGACAGAACGUAAUUUUGUUUCUUCACAACAGCGACAGCAGAUGCUGCCUUUGCUAAAUCUAGCUAAGAUUUAAGCAUCUCUGGAGAGGCUUAAAUCUACUAGCACUACUCAGAAUAUUACUAACAGCCAAUAGAUUUUCCUGGAUGGCUUCCAUCAUGGAUUCCACUUAGGCAAAGUCCGUAAGUAUCCACCUAAGUUUCCAACUAAGUAAUUGCUGCUAAGACUGUUUUUAAGAAAAAGCUGCAUGUUUGUUUCCAGUAAAAAGUUCUGUUUGAAAAUGUUAAAAGACCACAGGGUAAAAUACAGGCUGCAGUCAAACCAGACUAUGUUGCAGCCUCUAUCUCUGAGUACCAGUCGGAACGCCAGAGAUCACUGGCACUGGAAAAGCAUCCUAGGUGAUUUAUGAUCCUUCAGUGGGGGACGUGCUACUGAAGCUAAAGCAAAACCAUCCCAAAAUGCAAAAGGCAAAAUUGAAACAAACCGAGUUCAUGCCUCCCCCUUCCUCCUCCCCACCCCAAACUUACAGUCUCCUCCUCAAAAAAUCUUGAAAACAAGAUAAAUUAGUAAAACUCAAAUAAGCAGUUAAAAACAAAACCCUUGUUAAGAAAACAAGGUACAUAGGUGCUGAAGACCACGGCACUAGCUUGUUACAAUUGGUAUUGUAAGAAGAGAAACUGUUUGGAUGACAGCUCCCUAAUUCAACCUCUUCCUCAGAAUUUCCACAAUGUUGUAUUAUAAUCCUGGAUGAGUAAAACAUCCAAAACAUGGAAACUUGGUACAAAGGUAAGAAGGGAUUUUGAAAUGGCCUUCAACAAAUCUCUGAGCAGAAUAUUAUAGCUAUUGAAAAGAGGAAACCCUAACUGGUUUCAAGGUGGAGUUUGGUAAGUUUAUAAAAGAAAUUUUAGGAUGUGGUUGCUUGUAGCAGCAGGUGACUGAAAUCAGUGAUCUAGGAAGUUCCUUUCUAGUCCUGUUUCCUAUGAAAACAAACCAAACCACAAAGUUUGAAUUCAUACCAAGACCCAAACAUCAGUGGGUUUGAGAGUGUUGGAUUCAGCAAUCUGGUUUGGUAUACUGCUAAGAGAGCCUGAUGGAAAGUUCUGGUCAAAAUUUGAACUUCUAGGAAGGAUGGAGUUUGUCAGACUUGGAAUUUUGGUGCAGAAGUAAAGCACACAUGGGCAUGUGCACACACCUUUUGCUUUGCGGUGUGUCCUUUCUUCUGAAAAAUCUUAAAACAGUAGUAGGCAACCCCCAGCACAGGUGCCAGUGUGUGGCACACAAAGGCAUUUUGCUUAGCAUGAGUGCUUCAGGGUGGACAACAGGGAAGGGUCCAGGGCCAUGCUGCCAUAACAAGGAUUGGGCCACUCAUGGCUCCCCCACUGUCUGCCCCUGGCACACCAACAUCUUACAAGUAAAGGUUGUGGGUGUUUUUGGCACUGCCCAAAAAUGUUGCUGACCCCUGUCUUGAAAGAUUUUACACAUAAUUAAAUAAGCCUCAGAGCACCCUUAAAAGUUAAGGAGAAUGUCACUUCUCGCUGAGAGCAAAUGCAGUAGCUGUUUAAGAGUGAAGAGUUAUGCUUCACAGGAGUCUAGAGCCAGAAGUGAUAAAGAAUACUACAUAUAGUUGAAACAUCUUGGAAGGCCAAAUGUAAUGACACGAGUGGGCCUAGGACAGGGUGGGCAAUUAUUUGGGCUGGCAGGCCACUUAAAGAGUUUUGGUGACCUGUUGAGGGCCACCAUCCCUCUCUCUCCCCCCCCAUCCUUCCCCCGCUGCAACCAACGCAGAUGCCUGAACCUACCUGCAGCUUUAGCAGGCCCUGCACUGCCCCCUCCCUUCCCCCACCCACAAUUCCAGACCCAACAGCUGUUCAACCAUGGCCAGCAGCUUCCAGGUCCAAGGGGGCGCAGAGGGUGCUACAGCUGCAGGCUACAACCAGCAUGUAAGCCUUAAACCCACCUGCAGCUGUAGCACGACCCACCCCCUUCCCCUCCUGGGAGUUGGCAGCUGCCAGAUCCAGACUUGGGGCAUGGAGGGUAUUCUUCCACUUCCGCACUGGUGGCAACUCCAGCCCAGAGAGAAAGAGAGCGUGCACCUGGCAUGCUGGAAGCAGCCCCAGGCCACCUGCAGGCCGGAUUCAUUCACUUGGUGGGAGCCCACCUGUGGUCCAGAUCCAAUCAGUUGGAGGGCCAAAUGUGGCCCACAGGCUGUAUUUUGCUUACCCCUGGCCUACAAUGACAUCUCUGCCCUUACAAAAGAUUGUGCAAGUUUGUCAGGACCCCAAGUUGCCAGGGUCUCUGUUUUAUGUCUUAUUCUCUUUAGUGUUCUCUGCUUUCUUGCUGGGACAUUGGUUUAGUCAGGUUCAGUUAGCUGAAUGCAAGUUAAUAUUGCUCAGCCCUUCAGCACCAACAUACAUCCCCAAUGGGGCUCAAUAUGCUGGAAUUCAGUAAAAGGCCUCACCCCCACUCACCCCAUCCCCAAAUUCCUGGCCCUUCUAGGAGCCCUGUGGGUUAUAUGAUGUGUUCUGAGGGCCAGAUUCAGCGCAUGGGCCGUACCUUUGACACCCUUGCCCUAGGUCAUAUCAAGCUUUAUGUGCAUGCAAAAUAUAUUACAGUAUUUAAAAAAAAUUACAACUGCAUUACGCAAGCUUUUCUGCAGGCAACUGAAACAGCUGCUAUAUGCUUUGGUGCUUUAUACUGUACCGUAAUAGAUAAAACUUCAAAGAAAUUAAGUUUUUUAACAAUAUGGCUUUGAGUCCAACCACCACAUAAAGCAGGAGGGAGAAGGCAGAAAAAUAUUUAUACAGGAUGUACUCAAAUUGUAAGGAAUAAAGGUUUCCCUAUGUAAGAACAUUUAUACAACAUGUUACUGUUCUGUGGAAAACAGAUUCUGGCUUGGAAAGUAUAGUAUUACACUUAACAGAUACAGCAUAGUUCCCAAUUAUUUUUCCUGUUUUCUUUUGCUGUCUAGCUUCCAUUCCUGUAGCUUUUUAGUAAAAUAAAAGGACCAGAAACUACAAUCCCUUGUGAAGUCUUGUAUUUAACUCAAAUGAGAGUUUUAACUGGAAAAAGCACUCUCAAUGGGCUGAGAGUUGUCCCAGUGACAUUGUACUUCUUAGGUUAAAGGGUGACAAGGGAAAGAAUACUCGGUUGUCUUCCUUGGUUGCACUGUCAGUUCUUCCUGUCUGACAGACCUGGAGCUUCUCUGUAAUAUUUUCACAAUACUGCAUGUGUCUGUGUGCUGGUUAUUGAGAAAGUUACUGUAUAAAUAUGUUGCUUAAGUUUAACUGUGGGCUGUUGGAAAACCAAGCAGGAAGUGGAGCAGUAGCUCAAGACUGGUCCCCAUUUAACAGCACUUAAGGGACAAUGCAAGAGCUAUUCAUUCUGAUAUUCUGUCUCUGAUCCCCUGCUGAGUUCUCUGGAGUAGUUUUUCAAAGUGUGCAUGGCUGGGCACAUGUGGGGAGAACUUGUGAGAGAACAAAGAUCCUGACUGGAUUUUAGAAAGAUUUGCAUCCUCAAGCAAGAGAUACACAUGUAAGGGAAAGACUGAGGCUUAGCCUACACAACAGAACUUUAAAAAUAGUAGUUACAUUAGAGCAGCAAAGAUCCCUCCAGAAGAUGCAGAUCUGCUGUUAGAAGGCAUUUUUCUUCUUUCUACAUUAUAUGAGCCCCCCUGAACAGCAGAAACCUUGCUAAGAGAAGCCUUCUUCUGCUGGCAGACUGUGUCAACAUUGGGAGUUUUGCCAGCAUAGCUACAUUAGUGACAGGGGGAGAUAUUUUCAGACCCCAAGCCACUGUAGCUAUGGUGGCAGAGACAAGGUCUGAUGCACAAAGCCCUAGUUAAGAAUGACUGGAAAAAUGAGGUUUCUACCAAAGAAUGGCAGGACUCUAGGGGAGAGGUAUGUGCAUGCAUUUCACUGAUGCUAUGCUUUAUUGCUGUUGAUAGGACUAAACAAUGCAGUAGUUGAAGAUCCAGCUCACUAGUCACCACUAUUCACAGAUUCAUGAACAUCUGCAGGGGCCUUUGUGUCAGCAGAGAAGACAGAGGAUAAGAAAACACAGGAAAAGUCCUUUAAAAAAAAGCCACAGGAAAGCCAUCAAGAGAAGAGUUGAACCAAGUGCAUCUGGGUGGUAACCAACCAUCAGUCUGGCUAACACCAAGAUGUGCACAAGUAAUUGGUGUGAACUGCAGUUGGAGAUAUGCAUGAGUUUCAAAACGAGAAGACCUACCUUAUGGAUGUAGCCAUGGAGUACUUCCACAUCUGUUAACUUCACUGGUGUUCUCUACAUCCAGCAAAAGCAAAAAAAACUAUACACUGUAUAAGUUAUGCAAACAAAGUAUACCUGUUCUGACCUCAGACAAUGAAUACAAUUACUUGUUUAAAAAGUGACUAAUAUUAUUUAAAAUAAAAACAUGGUUUUCUAACAGA